UUGUCACACUUGUCGAAAGGUAAAAUGUAAAACAACAAGUGAUAUAUGUAAUUGCUGCGAUCAGCAUCGUUCUGCGACUGCCUAUGUUUUGUCCCAGUAUACCACUUGCUAAGAAUCCUAACGUUAAGAGACUAAACGUACUAAACCACGUUACUUCGUCAAGUGUCAUUUUGGUUUCACCAUUUUCUGUGUAGAAUUCCGCAAUGAUUAUCGUAGUUACUCCGGCAAAUGUACCAGAAGUAAAUUUUAAUGCAUUUAUCGCCCAUGCAGCAGAAAAUUGUGAUGCAUAACUUCUAAUCUUAUUAAGUUCAGGCACAUGUUUCAAGCUAAUGUUAGCGUUAUUGCUGCAAUGAAGAAAAAUUAAUCUUUAUUAUUUUCUAAAUUCAUUGAAAUAUGUCAUAAUUAUUGCAACAUUACGCACGCGGAGGUUUUUAAAACCUGUACAAUUAUACUUAUGAUUCAACAUUAACGCGCAAAUAAAUAAUUAUGAAAAAAAAACUGACCUAAUUAUUAUUGAUAAAUUAUUUUUCAUUGUAGUGAUAUAAGACUUUGUGUAAAGUUUGGCUAACUCACAGUCAGCGUUGAAAAUAUCACCUGUCAAGAGUUGGCAUUAAAGUUUUCAUUUGACUUUGUUACUCGUAGGAGCACGUCUUUUAUUAUUUGAAAAUGCUACAAAAAAAAAUUAAUUUUAUUUAAAGUUAAUUAAAUUAUGUACUUUAUCCAAUGUCGCGCAUAGUAGUUUUUGAGAUUAGAACAAAUGUAGUUUGAAAUUACUAUUAAUUCGACUCUUAUUAAUUUUUAUCAGGUGACAUAAGUAAAGCAUUGGAACAAAAAUAAGCUGCCUAAGAAAUUUCUUUGAAAAAUGUCUACACUUUUUUCGCUUAGUAAUUAUUUAAUUCAUAUUACUAUUUUAAAUACAUUAGAAAACACGUAAAGGCAAAAGCAAAAAUAUAUCUUAUAAAAUUAUAAAAUCGUUAAAUUAAUUUGUUUUGGAUAAGCAGGUAUUGAUGGGAGCCAUGUACACAAUGAAAGUUGAAUAAGAACUUUCAUAAAAUGUUGAUUACAUUUUCGCUGUUUUAUACAAUUCUGAAAUGGAACACUGCUUUGGGAUAAAAGACUGAAGAUUUCGUGAAACCAUCUCCUCUUAUAUAUUAAGACUUUUCAAAUGAACAGCAAAAAAA
Molecule: long non-coding RNA, 1181 nt
Organism: Nasonia vitripennis (jewel wasp)
Lineage: Eukaryota; Metazoa; Arthropoda; Insecta; Hymenoptera; Pteromalidae
Exons: 2
Source: RefSeq, a predicted model, not a curated record